UACGAAAGGGGGGCUAGCGUUGCUCGGAAUCACUGGGCGUAAAGGGUGCGUAGGCGGGUCUUUUAAGUCAGGGGGUGAAAUCCUGGAGCUCAACUCCAGAACUGCCUUCGAUACUGAGAGUCUCGAGUCCGGGGAGAGGUGAGUGGAACUGCGAGUGUAGAGGUGAAAUUCGUAGAUAUUCGCAAGAACACCAGUGGCGAAGGCGGCUCACUGGCCCGGUACUGACGCUGAGGUGCGAAAGCGUGGGGAGCAAACAGG
Molecule: ribosomal RNA, 258 nt
Filed under: uncultured bacterium
Lineage: Bacteria
Description: partial 16S ribosomal RNA
Rfam family: Bacterial small subunit ribosomal RNA
Source: RNAcentral